RNAcentral lists this ribosomal RNA (253 nucleotides) under uncultured bacterium. Its description in RNAcentral is "partial 16S ribosomal RNA". It matches the Rfam family "Bacterial small subunit ribosomal RNA", at positions 524 to 776 of the family's 1533-position model. The record is from RNAcentral.
UACAGAGGUGGCAAGCGUUGUUCGGAAUUACUGGGCGUAAAGGGCGCGUAGGUGGCCUUUUGAGUCAGACGUGAAAUCCCCCGGCUUAACCUGGGAACUGCGUCUGAUACUGGAAGGCUUGAGUUCGGGAGAGGGAUGUGGAAUUCCAGGUGUAGCGGUGAAAUGCGCAGAUAUCAGGAGGAACACCGAUGGCGAAGGCAGGUCUCUGGGCAUUAACUGACGCUGAGGAGCGAAAGCAUGGGGAGCGAACAGG